This 384-nucleotide ribosomal RNA is filed under the name uncultured bacterium. RNAcentral's name for it is "bacterial SSU rRNA". It matches the Rfam family "Bacterial small subunit ribosomal RNA", at positions 29 to 416 of the family's 1533-position model. The record is from RNAcentral.
AUUGAACGCUGGCGGCAUGCUUUACACAUGCAAGUCGAACGGUAACAGGCCUUCGGGUGCUGACGAGUGGCGAACGGGUGAGUAAUGCAUCGGAACGUGCCCAAUCGUGGGGGAUAACGUAGCGAAAGUUACGCUAAUACCGCAUAGGCCCUGAGGGGGAAAGUGGGGGACCGCAAGGCCUCACGCGAAUGGAGCGGCCGAUGUCAGAUUAGCUAGUUGGUGGGGUAAAGGCCCACCAAGGCGACGAUCUGUAGCGGGUCUGAGAGGAUGAUCCGCCACACUGGGACUGAGACACGGCCCAGACUCCUACGGGAGGCAGCAGUGGGGAAUUUUGGACAAUGGGCGCAAGCCUGAUCCAGCCAUGCCGCGUGCGGGACGAAGGCC